RNAcentral lists this ribosomal RNA (301 nucleotides) under uncultured bacterium. RNAcentral describes it as "partial 16S ribosomal RNA". It matches the Rfam family "Bacterial small subunit ribosomal RNA", at positions 509 to 807 of the family's 1533-position model. The record is from RNAcentral.
CAGCCGCCGCGGGAAUACGUAGGUGGCAAGCGUUGUCCGGAAUUAUUGGGCGUAAAGGGCUCGCAGGCGGUUUCUUAAGUCUGAUGUGAAAGCCCCCGGCUCAACCGGGGAGGGUCAUUGGAAACUGGGAAACUUGAGUGCAGAAGAGGAGAGUGGAAUUCCACGUGUAGCGGUGAAAUGCGUAGAGAUGUGGAGGAACACCAGUGGCGAAGGCGACUCUCUGGUCUGUAACUGACGCUGAGGAGCGAAUGCGUGGGGAGCGAACAGGAUUAGAUACCCGAGUAGUCCCUGUCUCUUAUAC